RNAcentral lists this long non-coding RNA (791 nucleotides) under Chinchilla lanigera (long-tailed chinchilla). Its description in RNAcentral is "lncRNA (ENSCLAG00000022582.1)". Lineage: Eukaryota; Metazoa; Chordata; Mammalia; Rodentia; Chinchillidae. The record is from RNAcentral.
GUUUUAUAGGGAAGAGAAGUUCAGUUUCCAUCUCUCGGCCAGCUACCUUUGCGAAUCUCAAGCCUCACUCCCCAGCACGCUGUGUCUGUGCUUUCUGGGUUGAUUGGAUGACUGGGAGUCCGCCAGGCAGAGGACAACAACGUUCAGACCGGCAGAGGGAGCAGCGUGCUCAACAAUGAAGAGGAAGGAAGCUGCAUUCUGGGCUGUAGUUCAGCGGGUGGAAGUGUAGGGCAUGAAGAUCUCCGGGAGGGCAGGUGGUCAGUCAGGAACUACUGGUGGUGUUUCCUGAGUGUAGCAGACAAAGUGAGCGCAAGCAAGAGCGACACAGCGUCUGAUGACUUCUGCAAGCCACCGCAGCCCCAGGGGAUGGGGAUGAGCUCUGCACUGGACGGAUGUGGUGGCAGCACCUGCUCAGGCACGUUGCAGCUGGGGUUUGAAAGCAUGAACCUCGUUCUCCUUUGCGAUCGUUAAAUCUUUUCAGGUCCUUCCUGCAGACCCGCCUUAAGCAACAGUUCACAAGGAAUGCAGACAGGGGCUGCGAUGAAAUGUGAUGAACAGCAAUAAAAAGUACUCAGAUCAGAGUAUUAAUCAUUUAAAACCACAUUGUUCUUAUGGUGUGAAACCAAAAGUGUAAAUAAGGAGCAAAACGUAUAUUAGGUACUGUGAAAUAAGAAGAAAAUGUACAGAUGGGGAUGGCAACAAGGAAGGCGAAGGAGGAAAGGAAAGAAGGGAAAAGUAAAAAAGGUGAGAAGAGAAAGAAAAUAUGGACACAAAGCUUUUGAAAAUGGGAG